AUUGAACGCUGGCGGCAUGCCUUACACAUGCAAGUCGAACGGCAGCACGGGAGCAAUCCUGGUGGCGAGUGGCGAACGGGUGAGUAAUAUAUCGGAACGUGCCCGGUCGUGGGGAUAACGUAGCGAAAGCUACGCUAAUACCGCAUACGAUCUACGGAUGAAAGCGGGGGAUCGCAAGACCUCGCGCGAUUGGAGCGGCCGAUAUCAGAUUAGGUAGUUGGUGAGGUAAAGGCUCACCAAGCCGACGAUCUGUAGCUGGUCUGAGAGGACGACCAGCCACACUGGGACUGAGACACGGCCCAGACUCCUACGGGAGGCAGCAGUGGGAAUUUUGGACAAUGGGCGCAAGCCUGAUCCAGCAAUGCCGCGUGCAGGAUGAAGGCCUC
RNAcentral lists this ribosomal RNA (386 nucleotides) under uncultured bacterium. RNAcentral describes it as "bacterial SSU rRNA". It matches the Rfam family "Bacterial small subunit ribosomal RNA", at positions 30 to 418 of the family's 1533-position model. The record is from RNAcentral.